RNAcentral lists this ribosomal RNA (540 nucleotides) under Preussia sp. E10. RNAcentral's name for it is "eukaryotic LSU rRNA". It matches the Rfam family "Eukaryotic large subunit ribosomal RNA", at positions 89 to 644 of the family's 3401-position model. Lineage: Eukaryota; Fungi; Ascomycota; Dothideomycetes; Pleosporales; Sporormiaceae. The record is from RNAcentral.
GCGAGUGAAGCGGCAACAGCUCAAUUUGAAAUCUGGCUCUUUCAGGGUCCGAGUUGUAAUUUGUAGAGGGUGCUUUGGAGUUGACUGUGGUCUAAGUUCCUUGGAACAGGACGUCGCAGAGGGUGAGAAUCCCGUAUGUGGCCGCCAGUCUUCGCCGUGUAAAGCCCCUUCGACGAGUCGAGUUGUUUGGGAAUGCAGCUCUAAAUGGGAGGUAAAUUUCUUCUAAAGCUAAAUAUUGGCCAGAGACCGAUAGCGCACAAGUAGAGUGAUCGAAAGAUGAAAAGCACUUUGGAAAGAGAGUCAAAAAGCACGUGAAAUUGUUGAAAGGGAAGCGCUUGCAGCCAGACUUGCCUGUAGUUGCUCAUCCGGGCUUUUGCCCGGUGCACUCUUCUAUAGGCAGGCCAGCAUCAGUCCUGGCGGUUGGAUAAAUGCCUGUUGAAUGUACCUCUCUUCGGGGAGGACUUAUAGCCUCGGGCGGCAUACAACCAGCCGGGAUUGAGGUCCGCGCAUCUGCUAGGAUGCUGGCGUAAUGGCUGUAAG